Molecule: ribosomal RNA, 465 nt
Filed under: uncultured bacterium
Lineage: Bacteria
Description: SSU rRNA
Rfam family: Bacterial small subunit ribosomal RNA
Source: RNAcentral
AGGACUAACGCUGGCGGCGUGCCUAACACAUGCAAGUCGAACGAGGUAGCAAUACCUAGUGGCAGACGGGUGAGUAACGCGUGGUCAACCUACCUCUUAGUGGGGGAUAACUAGCCGAAAGGUUAGCUAAUACCGCAUACGAUCGUCGCGAGGCAUCUCGUGACGAUGAAAGGAGCAAUUCGCUAAGAGAGGGGGACUGCGUCCCAUUAGUUAGUUGGUGGGGUAAUGGCCCACCAAGACUCCGAUGGGUAGCUGGCUUGAGAGAGCGACCAGCCACACUGGAACUGAGACACGGUCCAGACUCCUACGGGAGGCAGCAGUGAGGAAUUUUCCGCAAUGGGCGCAAGCCUGACGGAGCGACGCCGCGUGUGGGAAGAAGGCCUUCGGGUCGUAAACCACUGUCGAAGGGGACGAUAUUGACGGUACCCUUGGAGGAGCCCCGGCUAACUACGCGCCAGCAGCCGC